CUCAUGUUAAUUAUAUGUCAGGUGUAGGUUGUGAUUAUACGAAGCCUUUUCUCAAAAUUACUUAUUUUCUGUGGUUAUGUGUGUUUAUGUAACCUUGCCUGUCAUAAAAGUUAAAAUUAAAAUACAUUUUUGAAUUUUUUUUACAUUGUAAUUCUAUGCUUUUUGGCAAUCCCUUAUUGCUACUAUGCUUUGUAUAUUAUAGUUACUUAAUACAUUUUUUAAAAUUGAAUUCAGCUGAUUAGUCUUUAAAGGCAACUAUUUAGCUGUCUUAAGAAUCUAGUGAAUUUUUAUUUUUAACUUUAAGUUUGUCAGGUUGAAGAUAUAGGUAUUGCUGUAGGUAUAGAAUAUUGUUAUUUUUAGGCAUAGGCUAUUAUUAUUAUUGAAAGAGAGAAAGGUUACUGUCACACAGGGGAGUAUUUGCGGUAAAGAUUCAAUACCCAUAGCUUCUCAUCUCAGGUCUGCAGGGCAUAGCCAAGUGAUCUAGUCGAGCCUGGAACCUCCUUUGGCUGUGACUUCAUCUAAAAUUAGAAGGCUGAACUAAGUCAUCUCAGAAGGGCUGAUGAUUGCAUAUGAGAAACAGGAGAAAUGGGGUGCAUGGAGAGACCCCAGAAAGUGGUGUUACAUAAAAGUAGAGGAACUUCGUUCUGCUUGUUUGAGGGUCAGAGAAGAUAACAUUUAGGAAAAAUAAUUGUAAAAGUUCCUUUCAAAGUAAUGAAUUUAAUGACAAUGUCAUAUAAAGCCUUUUUUGUUGUUUCUCACUGUGAGGUAUGUGUUAAGAAAGUGUAGUCAUGGCCAUUGUCUCACCCUGGUUCAGUAAACAGUCCUUGGAUUUCCUUGUGAAACUAAUAAAGGGCUUACUCAGACCCACGUUGGUGGCAGAGACACUUGGGCAUCCUGCUCGGUUUCUAAUUUCAUGAAAACAUGUUUGGGGGCACCAUCCCUUUAAAUUCUUCUCAUGGUGUGGCCCUCUUUUGUUACACACCCUGACUCGGAUGUCCUGCCACACAGCUGCUGAGAAGCAGGAAAGGGUGGGGACCUGCCCAGCUCACCCUCUCAACCGCCUUGUCUGGUAGUCCUCCCUUCCCCUCGGAGGCUUGGCGCCCCCUGCUGGUAGAGGUGGUGACAGCAGCUUCCAUAUUCCUUCUGCAGCCCUCUUACUUUUCUCAACCACAGGGCACAGGGCCAGUGGCAGCAGCACAGAAGCCCCCUCCAGAAGCGGGUUUAGAGGUGAUGGGGGAGUGGCUGGGGCAUCCAGGGCCUCCUUGGCCUAGUGUAGGUCCUGCUACCUACUGGGCACAUAGGACUCAUCAGAUGGUUCUAGGGCCAGCCAGCCGCGACUUCCACCCCAUUCACUGAUAUGUUUAAAGGACAGUUUGUGAACUUGGCACUGUGGGGCGAUGUUUAUAUUUUUGAAUCAGUAACUUCUGUCACUUCAGCUUUGAAAACAGUCUUAAAUCUCUUUUCCUCUCUCUCCAUUUGCUGCAUCAGGCCAUUGUGAGCUGUCACUCAGACUGUUUUAUUGUCCUUAGCUGUUGUUCCUGCUUGCACUCAGUCUGCCUUAAUGCUCCUUGCUGACUGCUCCCUGAAAAGGAGACUUGUGCCUGUGAUGGCAGCUACAGUAAAGACCUCGCAUCCUUAGUGAGACUCAGACGUGCCAUGGGGUCCUGAGAGCACAGCCAGCCUCCUGCCCGCUCCAACCUCUCAGCAGGAGCGCACAGCCCUGCCUGUCCCUGCCACAUACCACGGAAUGGUCCUUGCCUUCAGGGUUGUUGGGAGGAUUAAAUAAAUUAAUGUGGGUCCAGUGCUUACAAAAUAACUGUAUUCAAACAUGGAUUGGAAUUAAGAGAAGCAAGAAAAUCUCAGGACCUUUCAUGUGCAUAGUGAAGGGAACCAGAAUUUUGCCACCCCAAAACGGUCCCUUUUGGGAUGUUGGUUUUAAGCUGGUUAUUCAAAAACAGAAGACUCAGAAAGAACCUGUGGCCUUUCUAUUUUCCUGUCUAAGAGACUCAGAUGAAAAGGCCUGUUCCAGGAAGGAAAUCUCAACACCCUCACCUUAGCAGUAGGUAGGAAGGCUGCAGGCAGGGGCCUGGUAGAUAGACAUCCCCUCUACCCCCAUUGUUUCUGGGUUGCCUAGCAAGAAUUUGCCCAGCACAUGUGUCCCACUCUUCCUCAGCUACCUGUAAAAUGCUU
Myotis brandtii (Brandt's bat) is the source of this 2190-nucleotide long non-coding RNA. RefSeq lists it as uncharacterized. The transcript has 2 exons. The record is from RefSeq and is a predicted model, not a curated record. Lineage: Eukaryota; Metazoa; Chordata; Mammalia; Chiroptera; Vespertilionidae.